AUGAGAUGCCUUUGUUUGUUUGGUAUCCGUGCAAACCUCGCCCAAGCCCAAGGCAAGACAGGAAAAGUUGCAUGGCUUUUCGCCGGUUGCAUGCGAUUAGUGCGACCCUGCAGCCUGCAGGUGACUGAAACUCAAACAGCUCCAGUUGAGUGCUGUCGUCUGGCCGGUCUUCUGUGCGGCCUGUUUGGACGGUCUGUGCGGCUGGCGUGCCUGCUCCACCUCCGGCCCUUGGUUGGCCCAUCCUCUCUCGGCGUUUGUAAAGGCACCCACAACACUCAUGAUGACACCACAGCCAAGUGCGUGACCUUUGCUUCUGGAGCAAUCUCGCCGCACCUUUUGCCCCGCGCAACACCGUGGUGUAUGCAUCUCACGUGUGUUGCCUCCAGUUGCAGCAGCCAUCAUGGCGUGUUGCUGCCAGUGCUACGCUCGAGCUGUGCGCUGCAGCUGCCCUUCCAGUCUCCCAUCGCUGGAAAACUUUUGCAAAACUCUUCCCAAGCUCGGCGACGCAGCCCUAGGCAGCCUACCAGACAGGAGCCUGCUGAGAUUAAGGAUGCAAAUGGUGGUACCCACUGCCUCUAG
This 579-nucleotide ribosomal RNA is filed under the name Triticum aestivum (bread wheat). RNAcentral's name for it is "partial small subunit ribosomal RNA". The record is from RNAcentral. Lineage: Eukaryota; Viridiplantae; Streptophyta; Magnoliopsida; Poales; Poaceae.